GCAUAUCAAUAAGCGGAGGAAAAGAAACCAACAGGGAUUGCCCUAGUAACGGCGAGUGAAGCGCCAACAGCUCAAAUUUGAAAUCUGGCGUCUUGGGCGUCCGAGUUGUAAUUUGCAGAGGGCGCUUGGGCAUUGCCAGCGGUCCAAGUUCCUUGGAACAGGACGUCACAGAGGGUGAGAAUCCCGUACGUGGUCGCUAGCCUUUACCGUGUAAAGCCCCUUCGACGAGUCGAGUUGUUUGGGAAUGCAGCUCUAAAUGGGAGGUAAAUUUCUUCUAAAGCUAAAUACUGGCCAGAGACCGAUAGCGCACAAGUAGAGUGAUCGAAAGAUGAAAAGCACUUUGGAAAGAGAGUUAAAAAGCACGUGAAAUUGUUGAAAGGGAAGCGCUUGCAGCCAGACUUGCCUGUAGUUGCUCAUCCGGGUUUUUACCCGGUGCACUCUUCUACGGGCAGGCCAGCAUCAGUUUGAGCGGUUGGAUAAAGGUCUCUGUCACGUACCUCCUCUCGGGGAGAUCUUAUAGGGGAGACGACAUGCAACCAGCCUGGACUGAGGUCCGCGCAUCUGCUAGGAUGCUGGCGUAAUGGCUGUAAGCGGCCCGUCUUGAAACACGGACC
Molecule: ribosomal RNA, 614 nt
Filed under: uncultured fungus
Lineage: Eukaryota; Fungi
Description: eukaryotic LSU rRNA
Rfam family: Eukaryotic large subunit ribosomal RNA
Source: RNAcentral